AAACUGAAGAGUUUGAUCCUGGCUCAGAUUGAACGCUGGCGGCAUGCCUAAUACAUGCAAGUCGAACGGAAACGAUGGAAGCUUGCUUCCAGGCGUCGAGUGGCGGACGGGUGAGUAAUACUUAGGAAUCUGCCUAUUAGUGGGGGACAACUCGAGGAAACUCGAGCUAAUACCGCAUACGCCCUACGGGGG
This 192-nucleotide ribosomal RNA is filed under the name Woeseiaceae bacterium. RNAcentral's name for it is "partial 16S ribosomal RNA". It matches the Rfam family "Bacterial small subunit ribosomal RNA", at positions 1 to 188 of the family's 1533-position model. Lineage: Bacteria; Pseudomonadati; Pseudomonadota; Gammaproteobacteria; Woeseiales; Woeseiaceae. The record is from RNAcentral.